AACGAACGCUGGCGGCAUGCCUAACACAUGCAAGUCGAGCGCCCGUAGCAAUACGGGAGCGGCGCACGGGUGAGUAACGCGUGGGAACCUGCCCAGAGGUCUGGGACAACCGCGGGAAACUGCGGCUGAUACCGGAUGAUUCCUGAGGGACAAAGAUUUAUCGCCUUUGGAGGGGCCCGCGUCGGAUUAGGUAGUUGGUGGGGUAACGGCUCACCAAGCCUAUGAUCCGUAACUGGUCUGAGAGGAUGACCAGUCACACUGGGACUGAGACACGGCCCAGACUCCUACGGGAGGCAGCAGUGGGGAGUAUUGGACAAUGGGGGCAACCCUGAUCCAGCAAUGCCGCGUGGGUGAUGAAGGCCUUCGGUUGUAAGCCUUUCGGCGGGACGGAUGAUGACGGUACCCGCC
RNAcentral lists this ribosomal RNA (408 nucleotides) under uncultured bacterium. RNAcentral describes it as "bacterial SSU rRNA". It matches the Rfam family "Bacterial small subunit ribosomal RNA", at positions 28 to 483 of the family's 1533-position model. The record is from RNAcentral.